This 2979-nucleotide long non-coding RNA is filed under the name Paramuricea clavata. The record is from RNAcentral. Lineage: Eukaryota; Metazoa; Cnidaria; Anthozoa; Malacalcyonacea; Plexauridae.
CCCAGCAGCCUUUCGCGCUCGUAUUCGACUUUUCCGCUUUGCUCGUGUUAAUUGAAAUAGCUGUAUGAAACUGAAGCUAUUGUAAAACGCUAUUUGGUGUACAAAUUUCAAGAUUUUAGCUAUUUAGUAAUAAAUAUAAACUUGCUCUGGUAUAAAUCAGUUCAUUCUUUGAAUAGUAUAUUUAACAAUGUUCUAAUUAAACUUAUUUAAGUUUUGUUUCACGUCUUUCCCAGAGGUCCGUAGGCUUUUAAGGUUUGUUGGAAUCGGAUGUUGGAACAUUGGGUUUAAGGUUACAUUAUUUUAAGAAGGUAAUACCCCGGAUGCAUUUUGAAAUGUUCACUCUUGUUUGAUAAGUAGACGCGGAUUAUGUGCCUUGACGUGUAAAUUCGUUAUUGAAUUUCUAGUACUAAUACCUCCUGAAAAAUGUUCAGCAGAAAAAGUCCACAUCUCGCUUCGCGAGGUUACAGUAUAUACUCGAAUUUGUUCCAAUUGGAAGUGUAACGUAAUCAUCCAAGGGCAAGGGCCAAGUCCAAGAUUCAGGCACAUUUCGAAAUGUUUGAAGAAUUGUUUUUUCCUUCACCGCUAAAGUAUCCUCACACCCGUGCUCACACUGAUGAUGCAUUUCAAAACCAAGACUAUAUAGUAACACGCUGUAUUCACCGAGCCAUAUUCGUUCCCAUAACUAGAAUAUUGGUAUAGCAUAUUUCUUGGUAAUGUGCUGAUAAUGGUGUGAUCUUGAAAUGAAAAGUGUUUUUCAGAAAAACAAGUAAAAUUUCGCGCAGGGUGAAUUCUUUCUAAUUUAACAUGGUUGAAGAGAACUAUUCUGCAAUUUUCUGUACCGGUAUCCAAUAACUGUUAUGAAACUAACUCCAAUGAAACCGCGAGGCAUUUUUGUACACAAUUUAAACUGACAACGUCAAAUGAAACGUCGAAUAUAUUUUUCAAGACAUUCUUCCAAAUUAUGUCAAGUAAUAUAUUCUGAAUUUCUGUCUUUGGUGAAGCAAAGAAAAGGUUUGAGAUAUACGGAGUCGAUGCGUUGGUGAUAAGGGUGAACUUCACCUCAUUUUAGUUCGUAGCCGUAGCCCGUAGGUGCUGGUAUGUCGUCUUUGUUUUUUGUUGGGAUUUAUGAAUUUCAAAUAAAUGUGAAAGUGGUCGUCUUCCAGGCAAUCGACAUUGGCGUUAAAAAGCUGUAUCCACGUACAUACGUCCAUGAACAUGGGAAAUUAGUACGAAUAUAUAUGGUUAUUUAUAUUCCACUGGAGAAGGCUCUGGAGAUCAUUCAUAUAUAUACAGUCCAUUUCAAUACCCCUACAUUCUAAUUAUGUACAUUUUUUACAACAGGUGUAAAAAUAUAUAUUUAAUAUAUUAUACGUUUUUCAACUGAGUCAGUCUUAAAAAACAUUAUUAGGCUCAGCAUAACAUUUAAGUAUGAAAAAUGUUGUUCAAAAAGAACGAAAAAUAUUUAUAUUUCAAAAAUAUUUUAAAAAUGAUAUUAAAAGCCUCAUACAGACGAACUGGUAAGCAAUCUUUCUUUGACAAGAUCUAUUUCUUCAGCAAUUAAGUCUCUGUCGUGCAAUGAAGAGGAAAAAGUUGAGUAGCCAGGGUCUUGACUUGGGGGAGGGAGCAAUCAAUAUUCAAUUCCUGACAACGCUAGGGCCUAGGGGGUCGGGGGCCUGCUUCCUCUGCAGGCCCUCGUUGAGUCAUGGGAAGCUCACGAUUUCGAGAGGGCCUGCGGAAUCUUGGAAAAUGAAUGUUGUUCUAAACCUGCUUCGUUAAAGAAGGCAGUUUUAUCCGUGCAACGUUGGUGUGGACAACAUAUGAUAUGUGAUAUUGAAUAGAAAAUUCCAUUUCCCAAAAGUGCAAUGUAAUACGUUCCAUUGCACUCUUUGCGAGUGCAAUUGUACUAUACGUUUUAUUCCGUUGCACUCUUUGUGCUUUCGAUAAAUCGCAUCCGUCAAAAUGCUUCUCAUACGAAUCUAUUAGUCUAUUUUGGUAUUAUAGAAAACAAAUAAUCAAUGUUUAUUCGUGCAAUGGUAAGAAUAUUUUCAUUCGGUGAAAGAUGGAAUGUUCCAUUCAACUUGGCUGUCGCCUCGUCUUUCACCAUUUUUUACAAGAUUCCGCAGGCCCUCGCCAGAUUGUACAUGACCUUCCUAUUAAAGAUGAUGUACACUCGUGUGCGCAUGUGCGAACUUUGUUUACGUUUUGAACUGCUAUAUUUGUAAAAUAUGAUAUACUAACUGAAUAUCUAACACUUUUCUGGUUCGCCAUGCUUGCAAAUGAAUAUAAACUCUACGUUUCAAUUCAAAAAAGUUCGAAAGAUGCAAAAUUUGGGCAAUGUUUAUAUCUGGGGGUCUCCAUUUGUUAUAAGCAGAACUGAUGCGCAGAACGGAGUGGACAUCAUCUUUAAGCUAAGUUUACACGCUACGAUUUGUCGUGUGCGAUUCGUAUUCUGGCGUAUUAAAAUGAGUGCUGGCGCCAUAAUUCAUUGUCGUUUCGUUAAAAAGAAAUUUCAAAUGUAGCCAGCUUACGCGUGUGGGUGUUUACUCAAUGACACACGCCAGAAAACGAAUCGUACCCGAUUAAUCGUAGCGUGUAAACGUAGCUUGACGCAACGAGGGCCUGCGAAGGAGGCAGGUCGGGGGCAUCCUCCCUCAGAAAUUUUGAAUUUCAAGUGUAUCCAGAACAAAAUUUCCCACAUUUCGAGACGAGUUUUGAUGAAAAAUUGUAUAACCUUUCACAUAUAAUAUUUUAUCGUUAUUCCAGACAUUGUAACCCCCUCUCACUUUUUUGCUCGGAUCUUAACAUUCCACAAGAACAGUUGUUGGAACCAUUCUACAACCGGCAAAUAAAAAGUGUCAAGGAAAAUUGCUCGUCUGUAUGGAGCUUUAUACAAGAGACAAAAUAUGCUAGUAUAACAUUUAAUCGAAGUAACAGGAUUACAUUUUACAGGGUGUCUGCCCAAAAAAUGCACCAGCUGUG